Non-coding RNA from Solanum lycopersicum (tomato), 477 nucleotides. NCBI's taxonomy places the organism in Eukaryota, Viridiplantae, Streptophyta, Magnoliopsida, Solanales, Solanaceae. The record is from RefSeq and is a predicted model, not a curated record.
UGUUGUUAUUUGGUGCAGCUUUUUUCCUAAUAUUUAACUCAUUCCCACCUUCUCCAAUUAUUCCAACCUAUUCUUUAUGAAGUUGUCUAAUGAAGUUCUUGAAAUGGUAAAGAAACUACUAUUAAAUGUUCUUAAUUUGUUGGGUGUUUUCUUUAUUUACAGGGAAUCAAUAAAUCUGCUCUUUGACAUUGUUGAAAUUACCUAAUGUAGGAAAGAUCAAAUAUAGUUCAGGACUAAAGGCAUAUAUGGGAGCAUGUCAAUUUAUCUUAUCUUGGUGGUUUUGGUUCUACUGCUCAAGAUGUGGGCCACUUUGUAGUCAAUUAUCGUCUUGCACAAAACACGCAAUGUAUUAGUAUUAAUUAUUUUCUUAUGGAUAUUCUUUUUGAUUUACUUUUGAUCAACUAUGUAGUUUUGAGUAUUACAUAUAUAUUCAUUGAUAUUUACUUUUCAUGUUUUGGCAUUUGUUUUUUUGUUCAA